GGUGAACGCUGGCGGUAGGCCUAACACAUGCAAGUCGAACGGCAGCACAGUAAGAGCUUGCUCUUACGGGUGGCGAGUGGCGGACGGGUGAGGAAUACAUCGGAAUCUACUUUUUCGUGGGGGAUAACGUAGGGAAACUUACGCUAAUACCGCAUACGACCUACGGGUGAAAGCAGGGGAUCUUCGGACCUUGCGCGAUUGAAUGAGCCGAUGUCGGAUUAGCUAGUUGGCGGGGUAAAGGCCCACCAAGGCGACGAUCCGUAGCUGGUCUGAGAGGAUGAUCAGCCAAACUUGAACUGAGAAACGGUCCAGACUCCUACGGGAGGGAGCAGUUGGGAAUAUUGGACAAUGGGCGCAAGCCUGAUCCAGCCAUACCGCGUGGGUGAAGUAGGCCUUCGGGUUGUAAAGCCCUUUUGUUGGGAAAGAAAAGCAGCAGGUUAAUACCCCGCUGUUCUGACGGUACCCAAAGAAUAAGCACCGGCUAACUUCGUG
Molecule: ribosomal RNA, 492 nt
Filed under: uncultured bacterium
Lineage: Bacteria
Description: partial 16S ribosomal RNA
Rfam family: Bacterial small subunit ribosomal RNA
Source: RNAcentral